CACAACCACCUUUGAAGCCAGCGCACAAAGAACUUGAGCCGACCACAGUCAUGAUUGGCGUGAGCAGCAAGUCCUUCCUUCUCGCCCUCCUGGUGCUCGCUGUCGUCUGCAGCAUGGCAGCCGCCCAGUACGGCUUCGGACGUGGAGGCUUCGGAAGGGGCUACGGUGGCUACGGAGGAGGCUUCGGCCGCGGAUACGGUGGCGGUUUCGGCCGCGGCUAUGGCGGCUACGGCCGCGGAUAUGGAGGCUACGGCCGCGGAUUUUACGGCUGAGCGCAAACUUCGAUUGCAUGAAUGACUACCCGGAAAUCUACCGGGAAGAUCGAUAAUGGUGCCAAUGUGAUUCAAAAUGCUGUCUAGAAGAAUAAAUUAUUUAUUUAUGAUAA
Molecule: long non-coding RNA, 385 nt
Organism: Rhipicephalus microplus (southern cattle tick)
Lineage: Eukaryota; Metazoa; Arthropoda; Arachnida; Ixodida; Ixodidae
Source: RefSeq, a predicted model, not a curated record